GCCCGCCUCGUGACCUCGGGUUGCCCUUUACCGGGCAUGAAAAGGGAAGUCCGGUGUGAAAUCCGGCGCUGCCCCCGCAACUGUAACCGGCGAGGCGGAUGCGACUAUGCCACUGGGGACCAUAUCCCCGGGAAGGCCGCAAUCCACCGGCGACCCGGAAGCCAGGAGACCUGCCAGAGCGUCGCCGUUAUC
RNAcentral lists this non-coding RNA (192 nucleotides) under Sphingopyxis sp. The record is from RNAcentral. Lineage: Bacteria; Pseudomonadati; Pseudomonadota; Alphaproteobacteria; Sphingomonadales; Sphingopyxidaceae.